CAAGAGCGUAUGUAAAAGUUGUUGCAGUUAAAAAGCUCGUAGUUGAACCUUGGGUUUGGUUGGCCGGUCCGCUUUUUUGCGAGUACUGGAUUCAACCGAGCCUUUCCUUCUGGCUAACCAGUCGUUUCGGCGGCUGGCGAACCAGGAUUUUUACUUUGAGAAAAUUAGAGUGUUCAAAGCAGGCAUUAGCUUGAAUAUAUUAGCAAGGAAUAAUAGAAUAGGACGUUAUGGUUCUAUUUUGUUGGUUUCUAGGACCAUCGUAAUGAUUAAUAGGGACGGUCGGGGGCAUCAGUAUUCAGUUGUCAGAGGUGAAAUUCUUGGAUUUACUGAAGACUAACUACUGCGAAAGCAUUUGCCAAGGACGUUUUCAUUAA
RNAcentral lists this ribosomal RNA (374 nucleotides) under uncultured eukaryote. Its description in RNAcentral is "partial 18S ribosomal RNA". It matches the Rfam family "Eukaryotic small subunit ribosomal RNA", at positions 592 to 976 of the family's 1831-position model. The record is from RNAcentral.